GAAAGAUUAAUUAAAAAAUAAUACUAGAAUGUCAAUCUAGAAUUGCCUAAAGGCAUCUUUCC
This 62-nucleotide transfer RNA is filed under the name Gibbosaverruca weijiai. RNAcentral's name for it is "tRNA-Asp". The record is from RNAcentral. Lineage: Eukaryota; Metazoa; Arthropoda; Thecostraca; Verrucomorpha; Verrucidae.